This 200-nucleotide unclassified non-coding RNA is filed under the name uncultured Podospora. RNAcentral describes it as "sequence contains ITS2". The record is from RNAcentral. Lineage: Eukaryota; Fungi; Ascomycota; Sordariomycetes; Sordariales; Lasiosphaeriaceae.
UUAAGUUCAGCGGGUAUUCCUACCUGAUCCGAGGUCAACCUUGAGAAAGUGGGGGGUUUUACGGCCGGUCACCCGUCGCGUGCCCUGAGCGUGGUAAGUUUACUGCACUCGGUACGACGACGAGCCCGCCACUGGGUUUGGGAGCCUGCGGCAGCCGCAGGGCUCCAACACAAGCGCAGGCGCUUGAUGGUUGAAAUGAC